CGAGAAGAUGCUUCUUUCUCUCCUCUCGCUCCCGUGUCAAAGUAAUUGAAAAUCAAGUCCAGAUAAGCCUUUCAUCAAAAUCCUCCUUGCAAUGAAUAGCAAAUUCAUUACCAUAAUUUGCCGGAUUAAGUUCGUUUGCGUUUGUUCGGAGAACGUUCCUGUCUAUGCAAAGAUUAGCCACUCAGGUAUGGCACAUUACGACGGUCGUAGCAGCAACGAUCUCUCUUUCUUCGAGAUGUUCACGGAACAACCUUCACCGUGCCCGGUUUUGCUAAUUCUAGGACUGCUGUCAUGUUUAAUAUGCCUGCCAAGGUAUGUCUCCUAUAUCUUAUCCGUGAAGUCGACAAGAGAGAACAUGGGUUGGAUUCUUCCUGCAAUUCCAUUAGCCAUCAUGAUAAUCGUUCAUUGUUAUUCGACUGCGGAUGACCAUGAGAAGAUGACAGUUUCCGUUGGCUGCCACGAUGAGUCGGAUGUUGAGGGCUUUCCAUGGCGAUUGGCUGCUCUCUUGGUUCUUCUGCUAUUCUUGGCCAAAUUACACAGGAACCAAUUUUACUGGAGAUGUCUUGCUAAGCAACCGAACGUGAUCUUGUUUUACUAUGUCCAUGCAUCCUAAGUGUCCUAGGCCAAUCCCUCAUUCUUUUUGUUACCAUUUUAUGAAAGGUGGUCGAGCUCUUAAUGCAAUUCUGAGUUCAGUGAA
This is a long non-coding RNA of Syzygium oleosum, 697 nucleotides long. RefSeq lists it as uncharacterized. Lineage: Eukaryota; Viridiplantae; Streptophyta; Magnoliopsida; Myrtales; Myrtaceae. The transcript has 2 exons. The record is from RefSeq and is a predicted model, not a curated record.